GGUAGGUUGGCCGAGAGUUUAGGCAGCGAGUUGUAAGCUCGUGUACGCGGGUUCGAGUCCCGUAACUACCA
Molecule: transfer RNA, 71 nt
Filed under: Ptyodactylus guttatus (Sinai fan-fingered gecko)
Lineage: Eukaryota; Metazoa; Chordata; Lepidosauria; Squamata; Phyllodactylidae
Description: tRNA-Tyr
Rfam family: tRNA
About the family: Transfer RNA (tRNA) molecules are approximately 80 nucleotides in length. Their secondary structure includes four short double-helical elements and three loops (D, anti-codon, and T loops). Further hydrogen bonds mediate the characteristic L-shaped molecular structure. tRNAs have two regions of fundamental functional importance: the anti-codon, which is responsible for specific mRNA codon recognition, and the 3' end, to which the tRNAs corresponding amino acid is attached (by aminoacyl-tRNA synthetases). tRNAs cope with the degeneracy of the genetic code in two manners: having more than one tRNA (with a specific anti-codon) for a particular amino acid; and 'wobble' base-pairing, i.e. permitting non-standard base-pairing at the 3rd anti-codon position.
Source: RNAcentral